AUUGAACGCUGGCGGCAUGCCUUACACAUGCAAGUCGAACGGUAACAGGUCUUCGGAUGCUGACGAGUGGCGAACGGGUGAGUAAUACAUCGGAACGUGCCUAGUAGUGGGGGAUAACUACUCGAAAGAGUGGCUAAUACCGCAUGAGAUCUACGGAUGAAAGCAGGGGAUCGCAAGACCUUGUGCUACUAGAGCGGCCGAUGGCAGAUUAGGUAGUUGGUGGGAUAAAAGCUUACCAAGCCGACGAUCUGUAGCUGGUCUGAGAGGACGAUCAGCCACACUGGGACUGAGACACGGCCCAGACUCCUACGGGAGGCAACAGUGGGGAAUUUUGGACAAUGGGCGAAAGCCUGAUCCAGCAAUGCCGCGUGCAGGAUGAAGGCCUUCGGGUUGUAGACUGCUUUUGUACGGAACGAAAAGCCCCGGGUUAAUACCCUGGGGUCAUGACGGUUCCGUAAGAAUAAGCACCGGCUAACUACGUGCCAGCCGCCGCCGUAA
Molecule: ribosomal RNA, 498 nt
Filed under: uncultured bacterium
Lineage: Bacteria
Description: partial 16S ribosomal RNA
Rfam family: Bacterial small subunit ribosomal RNA
Source: RNAcentral